UCUUCAACACACACACAUCUCUCUUUUUUCUCUCUCUAGAAAACUCUCUCUACCUUAUCUCUAAUUUCUUUUCUCCAAACACCACAACCACAGCCUCUUAACCACGAAAUUAAGGAGAUUCAUAAGGUUUUUUCAAGCCACAAAUAAAUUUAAGGAAUCGAUGGUGAUACGAGUGGAGCAUAGUCAAGGCACCAUUUGCAUCAUCUCAAUGCAUAUUGAAUCAUCGAAUAUGUGGCACUUAGGGACACUUCAAUUUUAGGAGCAUUCGCAUGUGUCGUAUUUCAAUUUACAUUGUAAUUUCAUUUAAAAGUUGUUUAAACCCAUUGUCAAAUGGUAAUGAUUUUAAUACUAUGGUUAGUGUUGUCUUUUAACUUUUGCUAUGAAACCCUUUGUACUGCCACGCCCUGUGUUUCCGCUUUAGCGGGGUGUGACACAAAUCAAGGAGGCACAGGUGGAGGGCCUCAAGGAGGAGAGGCAGAAGUGUGAGAGGAUCAUGGACCGGGUAGCUUCUUUUGACUAUGAUACUAGAGGAUUGUUAACCCUUCAUCGGAGAGUUUGGGUGUCGUACUGAGGCGGAGUACGGCAAGUGUUGAUGGAUGAGGCUCAUAAGUCUCAGUUUUCCAUCCAUCUAGGGGCAACGAAGUUGUAUAGAGAUCUUCAACCUGACUACUGGUGGGCCUGCAUGAAGCGUGAUGUCGCCUGGUACGUAGAAAGAUGCCUGACCUGCAGGAAGGUCAAGGCAGAGCACCAGAGGCCUCACGGCAAGAUGCAGCCGCUAGACAUUCCAGUGUGGAAAUAGGAGGAUAUCACCAUGGAUUUCGUCACUAAGCUUCCCAGUACCAUGCUUGGGGUGGAUUCCAUAUGGGUUAUAGUCGAUCGAUUGACGAAGACUGCUCAUUUCAUACCGAUCCAGGAGAGUAUAUCGGCCGAGAAGCUAGCCGAUAUUUACGUGAGAGAGGUGGUGGCACGGAAUGGAGUGCCUAUUUCAGUGGUGUCAGACCGUGAUGUCCGUUUUACCUCCAGAUUCUGGAAGCGGUUUCAUGACGAGAUGGGUACGUCUCCAUUUCAGCACCGCUUUCCAUCCUCUAACGGACGGGUAGAGCGAGAGAACGAUUCAGACUCUCAAAGACAUGCUGCAGGCAUGUGUUCUAGACUUCGGUGGCAGUUGGGAUAAGUAUCUUCCAUUAGGAGAAUUUUCGUAUAACAACAGUUACCAUGCGAGUAUUGAUCGACCUCCCUUCGAAAUGCUCUAUGGGAGGAGAUGCAGGACGCCGAUUUGUUGGGGCGAGGUCGGUCAGCGAGUCAUUGGGAGCACCGAAGUGGUGCGCAAGACGACAUAGUUGAUUCAGCAGGUUCGUAGUAGACUACAGACUGCGCAUAGUCGGCAGAAGAGUUACGCUGAUAGGAGGCGUUCAGACUUGGAGUUUCAGGUGGGCGAUAUGGUCCUCCUGAAGGUGUCACCCUGGAAGGGUGUUAUUAGAUUUCGGAAGAGGGGCAAGCUGGGCCCUAGAUUCAUUGGUCUUUUUAGGGUUUUGGCCUGGGUGGGUCGGGUUGCUUAUCGGUUAGAUCUUCAGGCAGAGCUCAGCCAGAUCCACAACACUUUCCACGUUUCUCAGUUGAGGAAGUGCUUGGUGGAUGAGACAGCAGUGGUGCCUUUGGAAGAUAUUCAGGUUGAUGGCAGCCUGAAUUACAUCGAGAGACCGGUUGCGAUUUUGGACCGGAAAACAAAGACCUUAAGAAACAAGGUGGUUCAGUUGGUGAAGGUGCAGUGGCAGCACCGGAAGGGGUCUGAGUGGACGUUGGAGGCAGAGGAAGAGAUGAGGGAGCACUAUCCAGAGUUGUUCCAAGAUUUAGCAGUAGUAGACUUCGAGGACGAAGUCUGAGACAAGUGGGGGAGAGUUGUAACGCCCCAUUCCCGGUAUGUAUUUAAAUAAGUGUUUCCAUUUUUGAGGAGAACUCGGCGAGUCCGUUGCCCAACUCGCCGAGUAGAGAUGGGAUGAACACGCGUAUUUAGCCGGCUACUCGGCGAGUCAAUACGCUGGACUCGGUGAGUUUGCCUGUCAGGAGGAAACCCUAAUUUCAGGGUUUUGGACCUAUUUAAACUUCCUUAUGUGCCUAACUCGUCCCUUUUCACCCCAAAGCAUCUGAUAGCAAAACCCUAGCCAUUCUUAGUGUGUGUGUGUGUGUGUUCAUUGCUUGUAAAGGCACCUUUGGAGUAAGAAGGAGAAGGUGGAAGUUGGAGAGCCCGAGAAAGAGGAAGUAGAUCCGGAUUGUACACUCUAUUGGUCAUCUUUUCUGGUAUUCAAUUCUAUACCUUGGCUUUUGAGCAUAUAGAUCUAUGUUGUCCCUAAUUUGUGGGUUCUAAGCUCUAAAACCCCAAAUUCUCUAUGAUUAGGCCUUAAGGCCGGUUAUACUGUAGAUCUGGACACUCAUGGCAUGCUAGAAGUAUAAAGUGUUGGUUGUGAUUGUGGUUGAAGUCGCUAUUGAGCCUAGGACCCCAUUAAGAGCUUAUUUUGGUCAUAUGAAGCUUUUAAAGGCAUGCAUGCACAUAAAGUUAGCAACUUUAUGUGAAAAGCAUGCCCUAGAAGUUCAGAUCCAUGAUUGGAAUCAGCUGCAUGGCUCAGAUCGGAUUUGUAUGGAAGAAGGACUGAAAGAACUCGGCGAGUCCCCAGGCCGACUCGGCGAGUUGCAUGAAGAUAGUCGUUGGCUCGGCGAGUUGGAAGAACAACUCGGCGAGUUGGAUGAGUGGUCCCAAAUAAAGUGUGUCAAAGAUCAAUGGCUUCAUUCCUUCGUAGUUACACGUAAAGUUAGCAACUUUACAUGUUCAGAUGAGUCCAAGAAUUCAGAUCUGCGAUUUGGGAACCAUAGAGCGGAUUCUAAAGCAGUAUAUGGAGUCUGCACGUUAGAACUCGACGAGUAGUUCGUCAGACUCGGCGAGUAGUUCGUCAAACUCGGUGAGUACUUCUUUGGACUCGGCGAGUCGAGUCGCGAGUCCUCGUCUUUCUUUGAUUCGAGUGUUCGGAGUAAAUCAGUGAGUGAAAGAGGCACUCGGUGAGUAGAAAUUAGAGUCAGUAAAGGAAGGAAUCAGCGAGUCUGCGCCCUGACUCGAUGAGUCCGGUCAACGGGAAGUUGACUUUGACCAGUAAUUAAUUGAGUGUAAUUUUGGAAAUUGUAGCCGGGGAGACAACGGAGCGGCAGCAGACAGUUUCUAGAGCCGUUCGUUUAGCAGCCAGUACACGAGGUGAGUUUCCUUCCAAUAGGAACGGGUCUACGGCCAUAAUGUCGGCCCGAUUAGUUAGCAGUAGUUCCGGGCUUCGGUCCGAUGUAGCAGUUAGUGUGUUUGAUGCUUUCGUGGCUCAGACAGGUUUUAUGCGUUAUGUGUUCUGGGCUACGGCCUGAUGCAGUAUGCAAUAUAUGUGUUUAUGAUGGUUGGUAUGUUUAUAUGCUAGUUGAUAUGUGUUUAUGCUAUGCUAUGCUCAGUUAGUUCCAGACUUUGGUUCGAUGCAGUUAGUUUCGUACUUCAGUCCGAUGCAGUCAGUUUCAGACUUCGGUCCGAUGCAGCCAGUUCCGGACUUCGGUCCGAUGCCGGGAACGAGGUCCCAGUCGGUUCCGGACUUCGGUCCGAUGCAACUUCCGGACUUCGGUCCGAUGCAGUGGGCGAGGCCCAGUAUGUGAUUUCUAUGUAUUGUAUGGUACUUCUGCAAUAAAAGGGAAGAGCUCAGGUUGAUAGCAUCGCACACACCACAGCUUCAGCAGUUUUUCCUGGGAGUAUGAUAGGACAUUUUCACAUGUUUGAUAUAGUUUGAUAUGACGCAUUACAUUAUGUUUUGAGAGUUAUGAAAUACGUUUAUUAGUAUGAUCUUCAGUAUCAUGAUUUUAAUAUUAUAAAACAAAAAUUUU
Molecule: long non-coding RNA, 3900 nt
Organism: Lactuca sativa (garden lettuce)
Lineage: Eukaryota; Viridiplantae; Streptophyta; Magnoliopsida; Asterales; Asteraceae
Source: RefSeq, a predicted model, not a curated record